CACCAGCUCGCAUUGAUCGCCAUGGAGCUGCCUGGCCCUGAGUCGCAUCUGGAGGAGUGUCACAGCGGCGAGGUGGAACUUGGGAGACAAAAUCAGAAAAGGAGAACACAGGACAAAACUUGGACUGAGGGUAGAAUGGUGCACCAAAGCAAGAGACUCUAUGGAGUUUGUUAUGAAAAGAUCUGAAUGAUUGAUAGUGUCUUUAAGUCUUUAAAUCCAUAAUUAGAGAACUGAGACUUCCAUCCAUGUCCAUGUACAACUGAGAGGGGAAAAUUACUAACAUAAAGAGCUAAGUGAAUGAGUAUGGGAAUCCAAGUAGCAGAUGGCUCUAGUAGUUUUUAGCAGGUGUUCAUUUACAUAUACUGGCCAUAAUCUCCCUCUCCGUUCUUCUAGCCUGCUCUAACUUGAAUGCACAUUUAGAGUCUAGGCUAUGGGAUCUAGUUUAAAAAAAAAACAAUGUGCUAAAUAUAAAGUCUUAGGCUCUAUUUAUGAGCUUGUCUUUUUUUUUUUUUUUAGUUUGUCUUUUAUAUUAAAUAGAUGCUCUUAGGCAUGUCCUUUAAAUGUUGUGAAUAUAUUUUUUAAUUUAUUUUAUUUAUUUUUUUCCCUUUUGUUGCCCUUGUUGUUUUAUUGUUGUAGUUAUUAUUAUUGUUGUUGUUGUUGUUGUUGGAUAGGACAGAGAGAAAUGGAAAGAGGAGGGGAAGACAGAGAGGAGGAGAGAAAGAUAGACACCUUCAGACCUGCUUCACCGCCUGUGAAGCAACUCCCCUGCAGGUGGGGAGCUGGGGUUCGAACCGGGAUCCUUAUGCCCAUCUUUGUGCUUUGCGCCACCUGCGCUUAACCCGCUGCACUACAGCCCGACUCCCGAAUAUCUUUUUUUUUAACAUUCUU
Molecule: long non-coding RNA, 888 nt
Organism: Erinaceus europaeus (western European hedgehog)
Lineage: Eukaryota; Metazoa; Chordata; Mammalia; Eulipotyphla; Erinaceidae
Exons: 3
Source: RefSeq, a predicted model, not a curated record